AUAAUGGCAAUAGUGUACUUUGACAUUGAAAAGGCGUAUGACUGUGUGGAGGGAGGGGUUACUGAUCACAUUGAGGAGAAUGGGUAUUGGAGGGAGAAUGUUCAAUUGGGUAAGGGCCUUUUGAACAGACAGGACAUUUAUGGCGCGUUUCCACUGCAGGCCUCGCUCGGUUUGGUUUAGCCCGGCUCACUGUAAUGCUGCGUUUCCAUUACAGUUUAGGAACUGGGGUAGUUACCAUAGUAACGCAGUGUAGGUGGGGCGAUCAGCUUUUUGGCGGGCGGGGCUAUGCUGCAUACAACUGCCGUGAUGUCAUCUUCAAUGCGACAAAACACACAACAACAAUGGAGGAUGUGGAAGCCAUCGUGUCCUUGCUUCUUGGUAUGUGGUUUUUUAUCACAGCAAGAAGGAAAACUUUGUUUCGGAAAAGGCUGCUUAUAGCAAGACGUAAUACAGAAGAAGCUGAGGGGAGACUUAUGGCAAUCGUACAACGCGGCAGAGACUACUCCAGGACGACUCAACGACAACGCUACUCGAAGUUAGGUUGCCACCGCAGACCAUGUGUUUGGAUGCUUGACCGAGCAACCGAGUGGUGGGGUGUGAUUGUUCCAUCUUUCACACACACUCAGGAUGUCUGAGGAAACCUACGUAUACCUGUGCAACAAACUGCGGCCAGCGAUGGAGAGACAGGACACAACAUUCCGCGAGUGUAUACCUCUAAAGAAGAGGGUGGCCAUCGCACUGUGGAAGCUUGCGACCGGCUCAGAGUUUGAUGCGCUACCUGAAUAGCUACAUAUUCAUUGUAUACAGGAAACUUGAAUGUUUUGGUUCAUAACAUCAUGGUUCAGUAAGUUGAUAUACAUUUCUUGUGUUUGUCAUUUUAAACACGACAUUGAAAGAUUGUGGGCCAUUAAGGCUAGUGAUAUUUUGUUUUGACUACAUUGUAUUGAACAUAAAUACAUCUAUUUUUCUCUUUCA
Gymnodraco acuticeps is the source of this 975-nucleotide long non-coding RNA. RefSeq lists it as uncharacterized. The transcript is spliced from 2 exons. Lineage: Eukaryota; Metazoa; Chordata; Actinopteri; Perciformes; Bathydraconidae. The record is from RefSeq and is a predicted model, not a curated record.